CCUACGGGAGGCAGCAGUGGGGAAUAUUGGGCAAUGGGCGCAAGUCUGACCCAGCAACGUCGCGUGAAGGAAGAAGGCUCUCGGGUUGGAAACUUUUUUUUAGAGGGGAGUGCAGCAGACGGUACCUCUUGAAUAAGCUCUGCCUAACUACGUGCCAGCAGCCGCGGUAAUACGUAGGGAGCGAGCGUUGUCCGGAUUUACUGGGUGUAAAGGGCGUGCAGACGGGAGUAGAAGUCAGAUGUGAAAUCUCGCGGCUCAACCGCGGAACUGCAUUUGAAACUGUAUUUCUUGAGUACUGGAGAGGCAGGCGGAAUUCGUAGUGUAGCGGUGAAAUGCUUAGAUAUUAGGAGGAACACCAGUUGCGAAGGCAGUCUGCUAAACAGCAACUGACGGUGAGGCGCGAAAGCGUGGGGAGCAAACAGGAUUAGAUACCCCAGUAGUC
RNAcentral lists this ribosomal RNA (442 nucleotides) under uncultured bacterium. RNAcentral describes it as "partial 16S ribosomal RNA". It matches the Rfam family "Bacterial small subunit ribosomal RNA", at positions 338 to 795 of the family's 1533-position model. The record is from RNAcentral.